UUCCACAUUCUAUUAUUUUUUUAAAGGAUAACUUAACUACAUUUUAGAAAACGUAGGGGUCUUAACCCGCCCUGUGCCCUGUUUAUCUCUCAACAGGAACAGUCUGCGAUGUUAAAGAGUGCUCCCAAAUCCCACCGCCGCACAGCGGCGCUGAGUUACAGGAGGAGAUCCGGAGCGUUAUAGAACAAAUUCAAUCACUGACCAGAGUAGUAACUGAUUAUAAAACGCUAAAAGGCAGCAGCACCUCAAGGUCAGGGCAUAUCCAAGGCGAUGCUUCGUCCCGACCCGGAGGAGACCCAUCCCUGUUGGAGGGUGUCCACUUAAACUCCUAUUAUAGCGUCUUAGUUAACCUAUAUUCGGUAUACAUGCCGUUAAUGAGCGAGCGAUUCGUCAAUAACCUCCCCGAAACACUCGUGUGUAUCCUGUCCGGGACACAAGAAUGUGGCCUGGAAGCAGAGUUAACGAGGGUGGUCGUUCUAGAACUCGCUAAUCCGUUGUUGGCGCUUUUGUCGUUUAUGAGGUCGGAGGGAUGUACCCCUAAGGACACGGGUGCGGGCAGCUUAUUCAGGUCCUACUUGAGGAUGGACGAGGUGAGCACGGCGGAACUCACCGGCUUCCAGGAAAUGCUUGUAUUGGCAAUGUCACAGGUACCCCAGUCUGGGAGUCUGAUGUCGACUAUAAGUCGACUUUUGGACAUGGUUGUGACGUAUUUCUCAACGAAGAUGGGGACUCUUAUCCAAGUCCCCAUUGAUUACGUGAACAUUGGUUUACAGUUUGGAAUUACAGUUCCUUCGCUUAAUCAAACCGAGCAAUGCCAGCAAGGGAAUCUGAAGCAGCUUAUAAUGUGGGGAAUGAAACACAACGUCAGCUGGUCCUUCGGCCCCUCCAUACUGGACAUCUUCCUGGGCUCAGAAUCCUCUCUGUGCAACGACCCCGGUUCAGAAUGCCCCAGUCCUGCCGGCCACUACAGCCGCCCUGCCUCCCAAACCGCCACCAAUGACGACGAUGAAGACUCCAUGUUCAGCUGCAACCGCCACAACCUCACUGUCUUCAACGAGACCCCGUGCGCCCACGUCCUUGCCGCUCCGCCGGAGGACCCCCCCACCUCGCUGGGGGUGUUCUGCCGCGCACUCAGCCAGCUCAGCCCCGCGCAGCUGGAGCACGUCUGGGGUAACACGUGUCACGCCAUCCAGGCGCUGAUGUCGCCCGUCCUCGCCCGGGCGCCCGCUUGUGACACCGGAGGCUACACGCCGCCACCGCCGCCGCCUGUCCUGCCCCUCCCCCCGUUGCAGGCCCGCCGCGCCAGGGCGUCGCCCAACCUCCGAAACCUGGUCUGUGACUAUGACUCCUGGUUUCAGGGUGAGGCAGUGGACGCCGGGGUGGUGAGCUUGUGCUCCGAUAACGACCGCGCCCUGUUCGUGGAGCAGGUGUGUGACAGCCCGCUGCGCAUGAUGCAGCUGCUGUCGGACCCCAACAACCACUGGAUGUUGGACUUUUGUGGUAACCUGACGUCGAACCCAGGAAUGCUGCUGAGCCUCUUCUGUGCCUACGAGGGCUGGAUGAACCAGCCGGAGGUGCCCUCUGCCAUGGUGGCCUUCUGCUGGAGCAUGGACGGCGGCAGGCUGAAGGAUCUGGUCUGCAAGGACCUCGGCCUCUUCAACUUCUUGUUCAUCAACCCGGACAACGUGGCUCUGAUCCCCAACUGCACGCACCUCGCCCUGCAGUUGCCGACGGAAGGGACCCUGGACGAGUUGGUGGCGGACUCCUGCCGCUACUCCGAGUGGCACGAUGUCAUGCAGAUCCCCAUGAACGUCAUGUCCCUCUGCACCCGCAACGAUGCCGCGCGAUUCGCCGCCGAGGUGUGCGCCAACGCCACCUUCUUUAGCGCUCUGCUGCAGAACCAGGUGUACGCCAGUUGGCUGGAGGUGUUCUGUGCCAACGUGUCUCAGGUAGCCCCGCAGACCACGCCGCCAUCCAGGGUCAUCUACUGGUGCGACUACGAGAACUGGGGCGACCGGCACGUGGACCCCUCGGUGGUGGGGCUGUGUUGGCAACACGAUAAGGACAACUUCACCACGAAGGUGUGCUGCAACUCCACGCUGUUCGAUCAGCUGGCGGCGGAGACCCAGAACAAAUGGCUGCUGACGGCGUGCGGGGACAGAGACGUGGCGGAGAUGAUACCACAGGUUUGCAGAUACUCGGAGUGGACCCGGCCCAUCAUCGUGGACAUGACCGAUCUGGCGCGCUGUGCUGAGCUGGACCCCUUCAACUUCACCACCAGGGUGUGCGCCGAUGGCGUUGUGCUGAAGCACCUCCUGGCCAACCCGGACAACAUUUGGCUGCUGCAGCACUGCAUCAACGGGUCCCAACCCGGGGAGCCGCUGGGCUUCAACCUCUUCGAGCAGUGCCAGUACGCCAGCUGGGGCCUGUCGCUCCCGGACCAGGACCUCAUGGCUCUGUGCUGGAAAUACGACCAGGUGAACUUCGCUAGGUCAGUCUGCCUAGACGUCAACCUUCUGGCCUGGCUCGCCCAGGACACUUCCACCAUGUGGGUGAGCCAACUGUGCCACAGCUUCAGCCACCACGGUGCAAACGACAGCGGCCCCGGGGAGGAGAGCCAGCCCUGCCUGGCCCGAGAGCUGGUGAUGAGGUUUAACUGGUCCUGCUCGGCCGACCUGGCUCCGGUGUGCAGGCCCGGGGCGAGCGUCACGGCCUCCCUGCAGGCGGUGCUGCGCUGCUGGGUGGAGAGCCUGACCCAGCGGAUGCAGGGUCUGUCGGUGCUGAACAAGGCGGCCAGCAUGAGCGUGGUGAUGCUGGUGGCGCUGGAGGAGAGGCAGCUGACGUCGCUGCGCGUCACGGACCAUAUCCGGCGGAGCGUGCUGAACUCCACCGCCCUCUACCUGGAGAGAGAGACCAACUUCGAGAACAAGAGGGUCCUCCUGCAGUGCUUUGGGAAAGAACUCACCAGCCUGAUGGAGUCGCGCACCAUACUGGACCCAGAGGUCUUCCUCAUCCAGGAGUAUUUCCGGAUCCCUCUGGAGAGUCUGCGUGCUGUGCUGAGUGGGGUGGACAACACCACGGCCCGGGAGAUCCUCGAGCACUACAGUCGGCAUAAGAACUCACUGCAGCUAACGGAUGUCUAUUUAUCGGCCAUGGUGUCUGUGUUCAUCCCCGUCCACCUGUGGAAGGACAGCAGGCUGUUCACAGAGCUGGCUCCUCUUCUACCCUGGGCCUCCCUGGCCGACAUCAAUGCUCUACCCCCACUGCAGUCCAACGCCUUUGUCCGGGGUGCGAUCAACGACAACCUGGAACUCAUGCGCCUGGCCCAGCGCCAGGCGUUUGGCCAGUGGUUCAGCCGGGCCAUGGCGCCGCUCAACAUGACCAGCGGCGCACGCUCUCUCAUCAGGGACACCGGGAACCUGAUCGUCUACCUGCCCUUCCAAAGCUUCCAACACCUCUCCCCUGCUCAGCUGCUGGACGGGCUGGAGGUGCUGCGGAGAAACACGCCUCAGCACCCUGCAGCAGGACUUUCAUAGCUCAGAGAAUUCAUCGGUGCCUACAAGAACCUCUCCAUUCAGGACUUCAACAG
This 3589-nucleotide long non-coding RNA is filed under the name Gadus morhua (Atlantic cod). RNAcentral describes it as "lncRNA (ENSGMOG00000032527.1)". Lineage: Eukaryota; Metazoa; Chordata; Actinopteri; Gadiformes; Gadidae. The record is from RNAcentral.